This 120-nucleotide ribosomal RNA is filed under the name Streptomyces lavenduligriseus. RNAcentral describes it as "partial 16S rRNA". It matches the Rfam family "Bacterial small subunit ribosomal RNA", at positions 162 to 283 of the family's 1533-position model. Lineage: Bacteria; Bacillati; Actinomycetota; Actinomycetes; Kitasatosporales; Streptomycetaceae. The record is from RNAcentral.
UCUAAUACCGGAUACGACCGCCGAGCGCAUGGUUGGGGGUGGAAAGCUCCGGCGGUGCAGGAUGAGCCCGCGGCCUAUCAGCUUGUUGGUGGGGUGAUGGCCUACCAAGGCGACGACGGG